UCGGGAAUUUUGGGCAAUGGGCGAAAGCCUGACCCAGCAACGCCGCGUGAAGGAUGAAGUAUUUCGGUAUGUAAACUUCGAAAGAAUAGGAAGAAUAAAUGACGGUACUAUUUGUAAGGUCCGGCUAACUACGUGCCAGCAGCCGCGGUAAUACGUAGGGACCAAGCGUUGUUCGGAUUUACUGGGCGUAAAGGGCGCGUAGGCGGCGUGGUAAGUCAUCUGUGAAAUCUCCGAGCUUAACUCGGAACGGUCAGAUGAUACUGCUGUGCUAGAGUACAGAAGGGGCAAUCGGAAUUCUUGGUGUAGCGGUGAAAUGCGUAGAUAUCAAGAGGAACACCUGAGGUGAAGACGGGUUGCUGGGCUGAUACUGACGCUGAGGCGCGAAAGCUAGGGUAGCGAAACGGGAUUAGAUACCCCCGUAGUCCCUGAGCGGGCUGGCAAGGCGCAU
This 448-nucleotide ribosomal RNA is filed under the name uncultured bacterium. Its description in RNAcentral is "bacterial SSU rRNA". It matches the Rfam family "Bacterial small subunit ribosomal RNA", at positions 355 to 825 of the family's 1533-position model. The record is from RNAcentral.